Molecule: transfer RNA, 94 nt
Filed under: Gemmobacter megaterium
Lineage: Bacteria; Pseudomonadati; Pseudomonadota; Alphaproteobacteria; Rhodobacterales; Paracoccaceae
Description: tRNA-Ser
Source: RNAcentral
GCCGAUCUGUCGCGCGCGGGUAUGGGCGGCUCGAAGCUGCCGGAUCUGAAGGCCGAGUUCAGCACCGCGCCGUUCGAGCGCGGCGUGGUCGGCA